Molecule: ribosomal RNA, 818 nt
Filed under: uncultured bacterium
Lineage: Bacteria
Description: bacterial SSU rRNA
Rfam family: Bacterial small subunit ribosomal RNA
Source: RNAcentral
ACACAUGCAAGUCGAGGGGCAGCGGAGAGGUAGCAAUACCUUUGCCGGCGACCGGCGCACGGGUGAGUAACACGUAUGCAAUCCACCUGUAACAGGGGGAUAACCCGGAGAAAUCCGGACUAAUACCCCAUAAUAUGGGUUCUCCGCAUGGAGGGUCCAUUAAAGAGAGCAAUUUUGGUUACAGACGAGCAUGCGCUCCAUUAGCCAGUUGGCGGGGUAACGGCCCACCAAAGCGACGAUGGAUAGGGUUCUGAGAGGAAGGUCCCCCACAUUGGAACUGAGACACGGUCCAAACUCCUACGGGAGGCAGCAGUGAGGAAUAUUGGUCAAUGGUCGGCAGACUGAACCAGCCAAGUCGCGUGAGGGAAGACGGCCCUACGGGUUGUAAACCUCUUUUGUCGGAGAGUAAAGUACGCUACGUGUAGCGUAUUGCAAGUAUCCGAAGAAAAAGCAUCGGCUAACUCCGUGCCAGCAGCCGCGGUAAUACGGAGGAUGCAAGCGUUAUCCGGAUUUAUUGGGUUUAAAGGGUGCGUAGGCGGCACGCCAAGUCAGCGGUGAAAUUUCCGGGCUCAACCCGGACUGUGCCGUUGAAACUGGCGAGCUAGAGUGCACAAGAGGCAGGCGGAAUGCGUGGUGUAGCGGUGAAAUGCAUAGAUAUCACGCAGAACCCCGAUUGCGAAGGCAGCCUGCUAGGGUGCGACAGACGCUGAGGCACGAAAGCGUGGGUAUCGAACAGGAUUAGAUACCCUGGUAGUCCACGCAGUAAACGAUGAAUACUAACUGUUUGCGAUACAAUGUAAGCGGUACAGCGAAAGCGU